RNAcentral lists this ribosomal RNA (473 nucleotides) under Burkholderia ambifaria. RNAcentral describes it as "partial 23S ribosomal RNA". It matches the Rfam family "Bacterial large subunit ribosomal RNA", at positions 1 to 513 of the family's 2925-position model. The record is from RNAcentral. Lineage: Bacteria; Pseudomonadati; Pseudomonadota; Betaproteobacteria; Burkholderiales; Burkholderiaceae.
GGUCAAGCGAACAAGUGCAUGUGGUGGAUGCCUUGGCGAUCACAGGCGAUGAAGGACGCGGUAGCCUGCGAAAAGCUACGGGGAGCUGGCAAACGAGCUUUGAUCCGUAGAUGUCCGAAUGGGGAAACCCACUCCUUUUGGAGUAUCCAUGGCUGAAUACAUAGGCCAUGUGAAGCGAACGCGGUGAACUGAAACAUCUAAGUAACCGCAGGAAAAGAAAUCAACCGAGAUUCCCAAAGUAGUGGCGAGCGAAAUGGGAUGAGCCUUGUACUCUUUAUUUGUAUUGUUAGCCGAACGCUCUGGAAAGUGCGGCCAUAGCAGGUGAUAGCCCUGUAGGCGAAAACAAUAUGAAAGAACUAAGUGUACGACAAGUAGGGCGGGACACGUGAAAUCCUGUCUGAAGAUGGGGGGACCAUCCUCCAAGGCUAAAUACUCGUGAUCGACCGAUAGUGAACCAGUACCGUGAGGGAAAG